This is a long non-coding RNA of Phlebotomus papatasi, 211 nucleotides long. RefSeq lists it as uncharacterized. Lineage: Eukaryota; Metazoa; Arthropoda; Insecta; Diptera; Psychodidae. The transcript is spliced from 3 exons. The record is from RefSeq and is a predicted model, not a curated record.
UUAAUGGAAGUUCUUUUUUUGUGCCUGUUCCUUGGCUCAAAAUGUGAGAAUGGAUGUUGAUGAGAAGUUACGCAUAUUAAAGUGAGAUUGUGAUUUUGAGUGAGAUGGAAAAGGAGUUUGCUGCAAAUAGAAAAUGCAAAAAUCUGCAAUAUGCAAUUCAAUGAAGUGAAAUCAAGGCAAAGAAAAAGCAUACAGAAAGAGAGUCGGGCUU